This 489-nucleotide ribosomal RNA is filed under the name uncultured bacterium. RNAcentral describes it as "partial 16S ribosomal RNA". It matches the Rfam family "Bacterial small subunit ribosomal RNA", at positions 28 to 507 of the family's 1533-position model. The record is from RNAcentral.
GAUGAACGCUAGCUACAGGCUUAACACAUGCAAGUCGAGGGGCAGCAUGAUUGAAGCUUGCUUCAAUCGAUGGCGACCGGCGCACGGGUGAGUAACACGUAUCCAACCUGCCGAUAACUCGGGGAUAGCCUUUCGAAAGAAAGAUUAAUACCCGAUAGUAUAGUAUUUCCGCAUGGUUUCACUAUUAAAGAACUUCGGUUAUCGAUGGGGAUGCGUUCCAUUAGAUAGUUGGCGGGGUAACGGCCCACCAAGUCAACGAUGGAUAGGGGUUCUGAGAGGAAGGUCCCCCACAUUGGAAAUGAGACACGGUCCAAAAUCCGACGGGAGGCAGCAGUGAGGAAUAUUGGUCAAUGGACGAGAGUCUGAACCAGCCAAGUAGCGUGAAGGAUGACUGCCCUAUGGGUUGUAAACUUCUUUUAUACGGGAAUAAAGUGGAGUAUGCAUACUACUUUGUAUGUACCGUAUGAAUAAGGAUCGGCUAACUACGUG